Molecule: small nuclear RNA, 102 nt
Organism: Saimiri boliviensis boliviensis (Bolivian squirrel monkey)
Lineage: Eukaryota; Metazoa; Chordata; Mammalia; Primates; Cebidae
Source: RefSeq, a predicted model, not a curated record
GUUUGCUUCAGCAGGACAUAUAAAAUUGGAGCAAUACAGAGAAGAAUAGUGUGGUCCCCGUGCAAGGAUGACAUGGAAAUUCGUGACGCAUUUAAUAUUUUU